Molecule: ribosomal RNA, 953 nt
Filed under: Botryosphaeria sumachi
Lineage: Eukaryota; Fungi; Ascomycota; Dothideomycetes; Botryosphaeriales; Botryosphaeriaceae
Description: eukaryotic LSU rRNA
Rfam family: Eukaryotic large subunit ribosomal RNA
Source: RNAcentral
GGUUGACCUCGGAUCAGGUAGGGAUACCCGCUGAACUUAAGCAUAUCAAUAAGCGGAGGAAAAGAAACCAACAGGGAUUGCCUUAGUAACGGCGAGUGAAGCGGCAACAGCUCAAAUUUGAAAGCUGGCCCUUUCAGGGUCCGCGUUGUAAUUUGUAGAGGAUGAUUCGGCGAGGGCUCCCGCCUAAGUCCCCUGGAACGGGGCGUCAUAGAGGGUGAGAAUCCCGUAUGCGGUGGGCUGCCUUAGCCAUGUGAAUCUCCUUCGACGAGUCGAGUUGUUUGGGAAUGCAGCUCUAAAUGGGAGGUAAAUUUCUUCUAAAGCUAAAUACCGGCCAGAGACCGAUAGCGCACAAGUAGAGUGAUCGAAAGAUGAAAAGCACUUUGGAAAGAGAGUUAAAAAGUACGUGAAAUUGUUGAAAGGGAAGCGCUUGCAACCAGACUUGUCCGCAGUUGCUCAGCCGGUCUCCUGACCGGCGUACUCUUCUGCGGCCAGGCCAGCAUCAGUUCGGGCGGUCGGAUAAAGACCUCGGGAAUGUAGCUCCUCUCGGGGAGUGUUAUAGCCCGGGGUGGAAUGCGGCCAGCCUGGACUGAGGAUCUCGCUUCGGCAAGGAUGCUGGCGUAAUGGUUGUAAGCGGCCCGUCUUGAAACACGGACCAAGGAGUCUAACAUCUAUGCGAGUGUUUGGGUGUCAAACCCAUACGCGUAAUGAAAGUGAACGGAGGUGGGAACCCGCAAGGGCGCACCAUCGGCCGAUCCUGAUGUCUUCGGAUGGAUUUGAGCAAGAGCAUAGCUGUUGGGACCCGAAAGAUGGUGAACUAUGCCUGAAUAGGGUGAAGCCAGAGGAAACUCUGGUGGAGGCUCGCAGCGGUUCUGACGUGCAAAUCGAUCGUCAAAUUUGGGUAUAGGGGCGAAAGACUAAUCGAACCAUCUAGUAGCUGGUUCCUGCCGAAGUUU